GUGGGGGGGGGGAUGGGGGGGUUAUAUUCUGCUGACAAACACAGAUGAGCGCGAUUGUUGAUUCAGGGCUACCAUCACAGCAGGCACGCUGAGAAUGCCAAUGAAGGGAGGGUGACCGAACAGGAGGGGUGGUCUGAAAAGAGAAAAAAGUGUUUGGCAGGUGUAUGGAAGGUGUCGUGUCGCCGGGAGACUGCAUAGCCCAUCAUCGGCGCAUGAUGGUGAUGCUCUCCAGAGAGGGGAAAGAAGCCAGGCGGUGAUAGCUCGGUCGGUUGGCUGGUCGGAGAGGGAAAGCAAAACACACACUGAGAACACUCAUGCAGAAAGCCUAUUGCCUAUAAGUCUACACACCUCUGAUGGGAGCCAGAUCUCAGGGGACAAGAGUCAAUCUAGACUGCCUACCCCAGGGCAAUCAAGAAUCGUGACUUUUGAGAGAGGAAUAUGAAGUCUUCUGAUGUAUCUUAAGGUUAUUGUUUGGGUUGUUGGUAUCAUCAGUUUCUCAAUCAAACACACACAAACAAGAGCAGGUUGCAAUAUCUUUAAGAGUGGCCUUGCCAAUAGCAGCAGCCAGCCCACGAGGCAACGUGAAUAUAAAAUGUGGCCCUUCGAACAUUGCAGUCUAAACAAUAAAAAAAUUUGUAUUCAACUGUAACAGAGCCCACCACCAGAGCAUUUUUCAGUACUGAGAAUGUUUCUACUUACCAGACUUCCAUCCAGUCGUAGUUGCACUCAAUCAUUGGUGUAUGCGGUGGGAUUUUCUACCAUGCUUUCAUAUAGUGCUGGAUGGAACAGCACAACUGUGCAGAGGAUUGAAUGUUUGACCACAAACACAUUAAGAUUGCAUGGCGACAACAAGAGUUUGGGUAGAACAUAGGAAUCGUAUCACCCCCCUCUGGUUACAGCGUUGCCCUGAAUAUAGUGCAUUUGAAGGCUCAUGCGCAGAGACUUUACUGGUGUAAGGAAGCUCAUUAUUUGGCACAGAGUGUUCUCGGCAGGAACAGCAGGGGAGCUGGGAUUGCCACAGGCCCCUCACUCAGCUUCCUUUGAGAAGGUGAGAAGUUCAGGCCCGUUGUGGUGCCAAGAAAUGGCAGAGUUGGGCGCUUUGGUGUUGUCAAUGCAUGCAUAAUCUCAGGCCUGAUGGUGUUUUGGGCUGAUCCUCACAAGGCAAUCUCUAGACUCACUUUACUUGUGGCGUGGGAAGCUAAUAGAGAUAUAAUUAUAGCAUGUAUCCCCCACUGUGAUCAGUAGCCUCGCAUUAGGGCAAUCCACAAGCAGAAAAUGAGAGAUGAAAUUAUACACACAUAGAAAAACACUCACGCACACACACGCACACACACACACACACACACACACACACACACAAUGACAUGAAAGUAGGGCAUCAUCCCAUACAGCAUGCUAGUCACGGCCUUAUUUGCGCAGGUCAACUAUACUGGAUGCCUUUAAUCAAAACCAGAAGGUUGUUUUAUUGAGUCGGACACUAUGCCUUACAUGAGUCCACUCCUUUAUGCUGAAGGUGAGGUCAGAGGUUAUUUUGAAUAGUAAUUAGAUUUCCACUCUGACCCACCCAAAAGAUCUAUUGUUAACACUCAUGGGAGAACCACACGGGAGAGUCACUGGGCAAUUGCAAGCAUACAUGGACUUUCACAGUACUUUCACUCAGCCCGACAUAGCACAGUUCAUCAUCAUUCAAACAUUAAGAAAAAAAAUUACACAUAAAUACCCAUCCAGAUCUGUCCUUUGAUCAUUGUGCUAUGUAUUAUACCUCAUCUUGUCCAUACCAUUUAUAGGGAAGAGCACUUACAAAGAGAGUAAUGAUGUUUCUGCUUUCAGACUUGUUGUUAUUUAGAUGUUACACGAAGAUCCUGUCCUCUUUGGGAAAAUAUGCUGUAUCAUAUAAGCCUAAGCAAUCACCAUGGAAAGUAAUGUAAAACGUUAGUCUGUCUUUUUGUGGACACAAAUAACAUGAAGCACAAUCAGUAAUAAGUAUUAAAUUGAGCGGAUGAAUACAACCUCCAUGGUAAGCCUUCCAGUGACUGCUCUAGUGCUUUUAUCCACCCAUACAUUCGCUCAGAGUUCUGCUCAGUUAAACACGAUUAAUGAAACAAAUAGAGAAAAUGUGUUCGGAUCUUUUUUCUUUUUUUUUAGGGAAGAGAACGUGCUCAAAUGUCAUUGCGGACAGGCAGAAUUUAUAAUUUAUUCUGGCAAAAUCCCAUUGCCUCAGUUUCCUGCCUCCCACGUUCCAUUCAGUGAACUCACGGCUUCAGCAGAGAUGAGCAGAGAGGCCCAGAGACUGAUAAUACACAUAUGGCACUUCAGCACUCCCUGUAACAAUCGACUUAAUGUGUAUCCUCAAACCAAAAAUAAAUUGAAUACAUUUGUUUUUGUUCAGAUAAAAAUUCAUGAACUUUUUUUUCCCCAAUGACAUCAAUAAUGUAUAACUGAUGGGAAAAAAUUGAGCAAGCGCAUGCCCAAAUCUCUUGUGUGUUUGUGGAUCGCUGGUGUGCAGAAAUGGCCUUUGACAACUGAUAACAGACUUGUGUGUGAGCGUGAGCGCGCACAUACACACACACACACACACACACACAAAAACUGAAAACAUACACCCACACAAACAACUCACUGGAGAUUGAAGAUAGAGACAAAAUAUGCUGUACUUCUGACACCUGCUCCUCUUACUGGUUCUCAAUAUCUGUGUCAUGCAGACACAUCCGACUGAAUACACUGAACAUUUACUGGCACUGAAAGGCUCUUUUUUCAAAGAACAUCACUCUAACAACCUUGAAGAGAGAUCAUAAUGAUUACAGAUAAAUUCAAGGUCAAAAUUAUGGCUUUGAAUCAAUACCACACCAAGUACCAGCACCUCUACAGUAUAUAGCAUAAUGACAAUGAUGGAGUAUGCAUGUAUAUAUAUGUGUACAUGACAUGGAAAGUACUCUGCCAGUAUGAAAUAUGGGACUGCUGCAAUGUUUUGGAUAUGCAAAAAGGCAUCAUUAAUUUGUACCCUUUUGUUUGGUCUGAGUGGAGUAGACGAAGAUGCAUUAUGUUGAGUUUCUCAUCAGAUCUACUGUCAACUGCUUUUUUCCUGAAGAGGCAGGAUUAGCAUAAUAGUUUCCUGCCAUUACGCCCUUGUGGCCUAAAAAUCAAUUUGGAAGUGACAUGCCAAGUGGUCGUGUAAUUAGCAUAAGAACAUCAGACACACGCUCAGACGCACUGUGUCGCGCACACACAAAAAAAUAAUCCUCUGAACAAAAUUUGCCCUUAUGUCUCAGAGUCCUCCUCUCUGCAGGCCAUGGCAAGGUUGAAAUCCCGGGACAACUUCCUCUGAAUAAAUUACCGCCGUGCACGGCAGAGAUUUGCAUAAGCCGUCAGAUCGUCCUUUGAAUCGGGCUAUUUUAAAAGCAGACAUAGCUCCCCGUACCAUUCCUGUUCGCUCCACAGUCACCUGCCAGAGUUAAUCUUCCCCAAAGUCAUUUAAACACUGGAAUUAAACAAACAAGCCACAUAAGGCAAGGGGGCUUUCAUGCCUCCCAUGGAAGAAUCCCACUUUUAUGAGAGGAAGUUCAAAGCCGAGCAGGGGGAAUUGUGGAGCUUAACUGAAGUCCGAGUGGAGCUCCCAGUGCGACAAGAAAUCCCAUUUCCCUACUGUUGGGUAAGACUUUUUUUAUGUUUAUGAAGUUUAAUUUCAAAGAGCAACACCUUGGGUAAUACAUAAAUACAGUUCGGAUCCCAUAGUGUGCAAAGAUGAUUACACAGUCACCUGUGCGGAUGCUUUACAUAUUCUACCUCCAGUGGUUUUUUCAUGGGUAGGUUCCAUACUGUAUUAGUCUUUGGGGUUUAUAAUCUGGAACAUAAUCAUUUUUAGAAAUGUAGGAAUAUUUUCCACGGACAUGAUAGUGGAAAUCAUUGUGUCCUUAUGUGAGAAAGUGAAUUCUCCCUUCUCACUGCUUUGCACUGGAGUGGAGUUGGACGCAAGAGCGGGACAGAGACCUUGGACUCACACACACACACACACGCCUAGUUAGACAUUUUGCUAGCCACCUGUGCCCUAUUGCCUUCUUAACCCUCCUUUUACCUUCAAAUUUACUAACAUCUUUUAUCCUUGGGGUCAAUUUGACCCUGGCAAUUUAAACCUCCAAAAAAUUAUUAUAAUUAAAAUUUUUAUGUGUCAGGUACUUUAAGUUUGUUUGUUGACUGCCUAAAUAUCCCUUUAAAUUAAACAAUACCCCCAACCACCCCCCUUAUCAAUCCAGGAUACCUGUUACGCGACUAUGGAGAAAUAUGCAGAUCACCAUAAAAUCUCACUGAUUGACCUAAAAUUGGAAAGAGAUAUCCUUUUGGUGUUUUCAUAGCUUCAUAUUAUUUCUAGCAGGUGAUUGGGGACAGGUGUGUUCCUGAUUGGCUGGGCUAUAAAAGCCCUGACCAGCCGGCAGUCGAGGCUGCUCUGGUCCUCCCGGGAUUUGGAUUUUGGUUCUCCGUUGUCUUUUGUUAUACUCCUAGACUGACUUUGCAUGACAUUUUGGGUUAAUCCUUAUAAUACUGAUAUGCACCACACUUUUGCAUUCUUUAUUCUUAAAUAUUAUCUUUAUAAUUUAAUAAAUUGACUUAAUUAUCAUUUAAA
This is a long non-coding RNA of Clupea harengus (Atlantic herring), 4618 nucleotides long. RefSeq lists it as uncharacterized. Lineage: Eukaryota; Metazoa; Chordata; Actinopteri; Clupeiformes; Clupeidae. The transcript is spliced from 2 exons. The record is from RefSeq and is a predicted model, not a curated record.